Molecule: ribosomal RNA, 365 nt
Filed under: uncultured soil bacterium
Lineage: Bacteria
Description: bacterial SSU rRNA
Rfam family: Bacterial small subunit ribosomal RNA
Source: RNAcentral
AGAACGAACGCUGGCGGCAUGCCUAAUACAUGCAAGUCGAACGAACUCUUCGGAGUUAGUGGCGCACGGGUGCGUAACGCGUGGGAAUCUGCCCUUGGGUUCGGAAUAACAGUUGGAAACGACUGCUAAUACCGGAUGAUGACGAAAGUCCAAAGAUUUAUCGCCCAGGGAUGAGCCCGCGUAGGAUUAGCUAGUUGGUGAGGUAAAGGCUCACCAAGGCGACGAUCCUUAGCUGGUCUGAGAGGAUGAUCAGCCACACUGGGACUGAGACACGGCCCAGACUCCUACGGGAGGCAGCAGUGGGGAAUAUUGGACAAGUGGGGCAACCCUGACUCCAGCAAUACCGCGUGUGUGAAGAAGGCCUU